Molecule: long non-coding RNA, 420 nt
Filed under: Panax ginseng (ginseng)
Lineage: Eukaryota; Viridiplantae; Streptophyta; Magnoliopsida; Apiales; Araliaceae
Description: long non-coding RNA (PGIN_LNC014632)
Source: RNAcentral
ACCAAUAAUAACAAAUCUCUAAGCUUUCAAAUCAGAAACCGAUCAAAUCCAUAAUCCACAGACCAGAACAAAUCCAUAAUCCGACUACCAAAUCAGAAACUGAUCAAUAAGCAAAUAACCCAUAGACCAGUAAUAACAUCCAAAUCUGAAAAAGAUAAAAGAAAGACAAUGAAACAAAGUUUGCACAUAAAACUUCCAAAUUUCUAAUUGUAAGAGCAACCCACUUCACUUUCAGCAAAACCCAUUACAUACAAACUUCAAAUCAAAUGAGAAAUCAAAAGAAAAAAGAGAUGGAUGAUGAUUCCUUUGGAGGAUGUUUGAGGAGAAUCCUGCCUCUCUCGUCCCAAAUCCUCUAAUCUGAAAUCAUCGAAAUCUUUCUCUCUAUCUCCUCCCUUCACCCUCCUCCGUCUUAGAUCUGGA